GCCGGUGAUUUAAUUCGCUCGCCCGAGCGACGGCCGCCCUUUUAGAGUGAUGAACGUCCAGGUGCGAAGGCAGGACCUACUUCCACUCAUAAUGGGGCGGCCACGGGUUCGAGUCCCGUCACCGGCA
This 127-nucleotide transfer RNA is filed under the name Streptomyces rochei. Its description in RNAcentral is "tRNA-Met". The record is from RNAcentral. Lineage: Bacteria; Bacillati; Actinomycetota; Actinomycetes; Kitasatosporales; Streptomycetaceae. RNAcentral also lists the same sequence under 13 other names.